This 433-nucleotide ribosomal RNA is filed under the name uncultured bacterium. RNAcentral's name for it is "partial 16S ribosomal RNA". It matches the Rfam family "Bacterial small subunit ribosomal RNA", at positions 29 to 507 of the family's 1533-position model. The record is from RNAcentral.
AACGAACGCUGGCGGCAUGCCUAACACAUGCAAGUCGAACGAGACCUUCGGGUCUAGUGGCGCACGGGUGCGUAACGCGUGGUAACCUGCCCUUAGGUUCGGAAUAACUCCCCGAAAGGGGUGCUAAUACCGGAUAAUGUCUUCGGACCAAAGAUUUAUCGCCUUUGGAUGGGCCCGCGUUGGAUUAGCUAGUUGGUAGGGUAAAAGCCUACCAAGGCGACGAUCCAUAGCUGGUCUGAGAGGAUGAUCAGCCACACUGGGACUGAGACACGGCCCAGACUCCUACGGGAGGCAGCAGUGGGGAAUAUUGGGCAAUGGGCGAAAGCCUGAUCCAGCAAUGCCGCGUGAGUGAUGAAGGCCUUAGGGUUGUAAAGCUCUUUUACCCGGGAUGAUAAUGACAGUACCGGGAGAAUAAGCUCCGGCUAACUCCGUG